CACCCAGGACGGUGGAUCACUCGGCUCGUGGGUCGAUGAAGAACGCAGCAAAUUGCGCGUCGACAUGUGAACUGCAGGACACCAUGAACAUCGACGUUUCGAACGCACAUUGCGGUCCAUGGAUUCCGUUCCCGGGCCACGUCUGGCUGAGGGUCG
RNAcentral lists this ribosomal RNA (156 nucleotides) under Schistocerca americana (American grasshopper). RNAcentral describes it as "5.8S ribosomal RNA". It matches the Rfam family "5.8S ribosomal RNA". Rfam says of the family: 5.8S ribosomal RNA (5.8S rRNA) is a component of the large subunit of the eukaryotic ribosome. It is transcribed by RNA polymerase I as part of the 45S precursor that also contains 18S and 28S rRNA. Functionally, it is thought that 5.8S rRNA may be involved in ribosome translocation. RNAcentral also lists the same sequence under 1 other name. Lineage: Eukaryota; Metazoa; Arthropoda; Insecta; Orthoptera; Acrididae. The record is from RNAcentral.